GGCAAACAUUAUUCUGAAUUAAAACAUACAGACAAGUGGUGAAUCACCAAAUCACACAUCCAAAUAAAUCAAGGUCGCGUACAUCAUCCCCGGAUGGCCGGAAAAUAUUCUGCCAUGUCACGAUGGCCUACCACACGUAGAACUAGAGAGGUGAAGAGAAGAGACCACGAGUGCCUUACUGAACCAUCAACAUUGGAGUCGAGGUAGCCAAGGCGAUGAAGCACGGUCAAGCCCAGAUGGUAGCCGCGCGUCCGGAUCUGCGUUGGAGACCUGUGGUGAUGUUGCGGAGGCGGAGGAUCCAAGGUGAGCAGUGAUGGGAGCCGGGCCGGUGAGCUGGGGCGCGAUGGGCGUCGCCGCAGUGGAGAAUCGAAGAAGAGCAGGGGCACGCGCGGUGAGGGGGGAUCACUGAAUCGGAGCGUGGCCGGUGAGUAAAAGCGUCGGAGGUUUCCGUCAUCAGAGGCAGCGGCAGCCCUGUCGUAUAGUUCGGGUGAGAGAGGAAUCAGGGGGUGAUUGGAUACGAGAUAUUUGUAUAGGCCCGGGGAGGUAGCUAGAUAUGGGGAGGUUAGCUAUUCGUGGGAGGUGGGUGGUUGACCCAAACAACACAUAUUAUCAAAUCGUUGGAAAGGAUAGGUUGGUGUAUGGGGGGUUUUGUUG
This 654-nucleotide long non-coding RNA is filed under the name Hordeum vulgare. Its description in RNAcentral is "long non-coding RNA (HVUL_LNC010141)". The record is from RNAcentral. Lineage: Eukaryota; Viridiplantae; Streptophyta; Magnoliopsida; Poales; Poaceae.